AAUAAUUUUAAAUAAAAUUUUCAGCCUAGGAGGUAAAUUAUGUGAUAAAUAAAAGAUUAAAGACUUGUAGAUGCAUUUUUAAUAAUUUAAACCAUUUACAAUAAAAAUUAUAUGUGCUGCAGUGCAGGUAAAAUUUAAAACAACUGUUUAUAUAUUUAAAAUAGCAAUUAAAGUAUUUUAGUAAUCUUCCUAUUGAUCGUACACCAAUACCAUACCAUCUUUCCAAACAUGUU
RNAcentral lists this unclassified non-coding RNA (233 nucleotides) under Hevea brasiliensis (rubber tree). Lineage: Eukaryota; Viridiplantae; Streptophyta; Magnoliopsida; Malpighiales; Euphorbiaceae. The record is from RNAcentral.